GUGCCCACUUCAGCAGCACAUAUACUAAAAUUGGAAUGAUGCAGAGAAGAUUAGCACAUCCUCUGCACAAGGUGACAUACAAAUUCGUGAAGCAUUCGUAUUUUUA
Small nuclear RNA from Pteropus vampyrus (large flying fox), 106 nucleotides. The record is from Ensembl. NCBI's taxonomy places the organism in Eukaryota, Metazoa, Chordata, Mammalia, Chiroptera, Pteropodidae.